GCGGGUGUAGCUCAGCGGGUAGAGCGUCACGUUGCCAACGUGAAGGUCGUGGGUCCGAACCCCAUCACCCGCU
Molecule: transfer RNA, 73 nt
Filed under: bacterium
Lineage: Bacteria
Also listed under: 1 other name
Description: tRNA-Gly
Rfam family: tRNA
About the family: Transfer RNA (tRNA) molecules are approximately 80 nucleotides in length. Their secondary structure includes four short double-helical elements and three loops (D, anti-codon, and T loops).
Source: RNAcentral